RNAcentral lists this ribosomal RNA (440 nucleotides) under uncultured bacterium. RNAcentral's name for it is "partial 16S ribosomal RNA". It matches the Rfam family "Bacterial small subunit ribosomal RNA", at positions 338 to 795 of the family's 1533-position model. The record is from RNAcentral.
CCUACGGGAGUCAGCAGUGGGGCAUAUUGCACAAUGGGGGAAACCCUGAUGCAGCGACGCCGCGGGAGUGAAGAAGUAAUUCGUUAUGUAAAGCUCUAUCAGCAGGGAAGAAAAUGACGGUACCUGAGUCAGAAGCCCCGGCUAACUACGUGCCAGCAGCCGCGGUAAUACGUAGGGGGCAAGCGUUAUCCGGAUUUACUGGGUGUAAAGGGAGCGUAGACGGCAGUGCAAGUCAGGAGUGAAAGGCGGGGGCUCAACCCCAGGACUGCACUGGAAACUGUCCGACUGGAGUGCAGGAGAGGUAAGUGGAAUUCCUAGUGUAGCGGUGAAAUGCGUAGAUAUUAGGAGGAACACCAGUGGCGAAGGCGGCUUACUGGACUGUAACUGACGUUGAGGCUCGAAAGCGUGGGGAGCAAACAGGAUUAGAUACCCCAGUAGUC